This is an RNA transcript of Phragmites australis (common reed), 1286 nucleotides long. RefSeq lists it as uncharacterized. The record is from RefSeq and is a predicted model, not a curated record. The transcript is spliced from 6 exons. Lineage: Eukaryota; Viridiplantae; Streptophyta; Magnoliopsida; Poales; Poaceae.
GAAAAAAAAACACAAAAAAAGACCUUAACAAUUUGCUAAAGAGAAGACACGUGGACUUUUGCACAAAUACAAUUUCUUUUUACUUGUUCUCCCUUUCUCCUACCACUCUGCCUUCUUGUGAUUUUAUCUAUUAACCUUGAUCCUUCCCAUCCGUCGUCACCAGAGAUGCAAAGAUCCAAAGAGCCAUGAUCGAGUGCAUCAAAGCCCUGCUUCAUUUGCCCUUGCACCUCCAUAAAAACCCAACCCCCUUGCUGUUAGGGGCUUAGGGCUUUGCUCCGAUCCUCCGACCUCCACCGAGGAAGCAUUGCAAGAAGAUUUCUGGGAAGAGGAAGUGGUAGAGCUAUGGGCAAUUCUUGUGUCACUGGUGCUGGCCGAUCAAACCAGAGGCAGAGCCAGGGAUCUAAGGUGACACCUCCCGCCGAGCAGACAACCUUCAAGUGGAGCAUCGAUGGCUUCUCUUCACUUAUCGAAAAGAGAGACAGCUGGGCAAGAUCCAGAGUUUUUGAGAUCAUGGGCCUGAAAUGUUAGCCACAAUUUCCAGACCGCAAGCACCGGUUCUGGGGCCUCAUGCAUGAUUCCCCUCGUGAAACUGAAGGAGCCGUCCUCCGGAUUCCUCGUCAACAACAGUUGUGUCUUUGGUGUCGAGUUCCUCAAAGUUAUCAGUUCUAAAACCAACAGUAUGUCAGAGAGGCUGUUUGUCCUGAAGAUGAACACCUUCAACUAGGACGAAGCUUACACUUGGGACAUUGACGACUUCUUCGCACUGAAGAACCAGGACUACUCUCCGGAGUUUGAAUCCGGCAAAUACCAAUGGUGGUCAAUCAAAAUAUAUCCAGCUCAUGAUGGGAAGCACCUAUCCCUGUACCUGAACAUGAAAACACCAAAUACUCCCCCCAAAGACUCCGGAAAUCUGGUAGAACUUAGCUUAUCCAUCAAAGACCAGGAAAAUGGAAAGCACCAGAAAAUAACAGGCCAAUGAACAAGUUCAUGACGCCGGAGGAUUUCAAGGACUCGUCGAAUGGUUAUCUCGUGAAAACCAAGUGCUGCAUUGAAGCUGAGGUCGCGAUCGUUGGUUCCUCCAAUACGAACUAGAGUAUUUGCAUGGUGCGUGUGUGCUCGUGUUUCUUUGCUUAUUUGAGCCGAAUAUGCUGAAAGCGCAAACGGCAAAUAAGGUUCAGUUCUUUGCCUCUGUCGUGUCAUGUUGAUGCAGUGACAUCUGCUGCCAUCAAUUUGUAAUCUUAAAAUUAUCGAUCCUUCAGACGAAGAAACCGAAUUCCAAAAUUUUC